UUUAAGUUCUUAACGUAAAAUAUAUCCAAAUGUAAAAUGAACUUAAUAAGCAUCAUGUCACCUUUUCUUGUAUAUCUGCUGCAGAGGUUCUCCUUCCCUUCACCUUUAUAGCAUGCUGUUCUGAUUUGAAUGAUCUGAUCAUGUCGCCUGCGUCUAUAGUCCAGGUCUGCCCCCUAAUUCAGAUAAUCUUAGACUAUUAGGCCAUAAUGACAACUUUGAUGCCUUUUGAACAAACAUUCUAAAAAAUUAACAAAUCCUAUGGUCUAAGGAAACAGACCGGCCUCUGGGAGUAAUGUAAUUUAACUCAGGCUAUGACAAAUAGCAUUAUGUAGUUUAAGAAGUAGGCUGGAGACGUAAAACCACAAGGCACACAAAAUAACCAAAUGUUUGUAUCAACUUAGAUUUUGUGCAAACAAGGUGAAGAGGUUUGAAUGGGGAUUUUCAUUCAUGGUAUUGGGCAAAGCUGAACCUAACAGGCCACUCUCCAAUGUCACCAGUGUGCCUGCACAGAUGUGGAACUUCACUGAAGCCCUAUCAUGUUCAUGCCAAUAUAUGACCUUCUCCUACACCCAAAAUAUAAUACAUACAUGGAUAGUAGAAAACUUGCCUGUAGUUUACCAUUAGAGACUUAAAAAUACAGUUUUAAUAACUGUUCUAUGUUUUAUAAGCGUCCCAUGGUAAUGGAACACAGUUGUGGUUUGGUUUUUCAGACCAGCGCCUACAGGCAAUCUUAGAAAAAGAGUGUGGACACAAAUUGUACAUUGGCUACACUAUCACCUAAAUAGUUUUCCUGCAAUGUUAUUAGUUUUUUUAAUAUUAAGAAGCAGAUGGUGGACUACAUUAUAGGAUGAUUAAAUAAAAGCAUUGUAAAACAAAAUCAUGGUUUAAAAUGUACCAGGCAAAUGGCCAACAGCAUGUAUGGCCUCAUGUGUUGUGAACAGAGUGCCCCAUAGUGGUGGUGGGGUUAUUGUUUGGACAGGCAUAAGGUUCAGAAAAUAAAAACAGCUGGAUUUUAUCAAUGGCUGUUUGAAUGCAUAGAGAUACCGUGACGAGAUCAUAAAGCCCAUUGUCAUUCCAUUCAUCCACCUCCAUCACCCCAUGUUUCAGCUUUAUAAUGCACAGCUCCACGUCACAAGGAUUGGUUCACAAGUCCUGGAAGAAAAUGUCUAUGGCCUGCAUACAGUACUCACCAGACAUGUCACCCAUUGAUCACAUUUAGGAUCCUCUAAAAUCAACAUGUACAACAGCAUGUUUCAGUUCCUGACAAUAUCCAGGAACUUCACAGUCAUCCCAAAAGAGUGGGACAGCAUUCAACAUGUUUUGGUCAUGAUCAACCUGUACCAGUCAUGGAUGCAUUAUUGGAGCACUCACCAUGAUGAGAGAGGUCAGCGAAUAUCUUUCGUCCUGCAGUUUUUCUCUGCAGCUGGUAGACCCACGCCAUAAUCAGGCCGUGAUGGAAGAGGGGCGGAUGGACUCUACAUUUGAGCACUGUUGUGUUGUCCUCCCACCUGAGAUUGAUCCCAGUUUUCAGGAUUCAAUCUCCAAGAGAGAGAACAGGGGCACGUGGUAUUCCUGAAGAUGACCAACACCACAAUAGUUUUGUCUGUGUUAAGGUGAUGUUGACUCCAGCUGGUUGACCUCUCCAUGGUGCAUGGCUGUAAGUGGUAUUUCAGACCAGAGUGUUGUCAUCUGUAAACUUGUGUAUCUUGACAGAAGCCUUAUUAAAGUCAUUACAACGGAGUGAGUAUAAUAUGGGAAAGCAUGCAUCCUUGCGGUGCUCCAGUGCUGAGGAAUAAAGAGUCUGAUAUGUUCAUACCUAUCAGGUAUAGAUCCACUGACAGUUGGACCUGGGCCUGUUCAGCUGGGAGAGUUCUAAGGUAGUGGUGUUGAACGCAGAGAUGAAGUCCAUAAACAGUCUUGAUGCAUAAGUCUUCGGGUUGUCUAGGUGUUAGAGAACGUCGUGGAUGUCCAUGUUGAUAGCGUCAUUCACAGACAAGCUGCAUUUGUAGGCAAACUGCAGUGGUUCAAAGGAAUGGUUUCAAGACUGGACAAUGGGACAGUCAUCCAGACAGAAUACAUUUAGUUUUCUGUUGACAAGAACCAUGAUGUAGGACUUGAAACGUGUGUAGAAACAGUGCAUUGCUGUAGUAACAUUCUGAUGUACGUUAUUAUAUACAUUGGUUAGUAUAUGUACAUGGAUAGUAGAGAACAUGCCUUUAGCUUACCCUCAGAGUUUUAAAUAUGCAGUUUUAAUAAAUGUUCUGUGUUUUAUAAGCAUUCCAUGGUAAUGGAACAAAGUUGUGGUUUGGUUUUUCAGACCAGUGCCUACAGGCAAGCUAGGGACCAGCCCCUAAAAAUAGGGUUUACACAGAUUUUACAUUGGCUACACUAUUACCUAACAAUGACCUUGUCUUGUCGUACUAAAUGAUAAAAAGAUGAAUCAGUAUGUCUACUGGUAGGAUACUUUCAUACUGUUUUAGGCUGCUACUGCCUAUCACCAUUGAGCUCAGUGUUUGACAAUGCACAUAUGUCUCAAGAUAUGUUAUGUAACUUUUAUUUUUAGCUAGCUAGUUAGAUGCUUAUGAAUUGACCCAGAUUGUCCAUGAUAUCCAUCUUUUGAGUUUGAAUGGGCUGUCUAAGUUCCAAUGAGGGGAUUAUUAUGCAGGUCUUGGUGGACUGGCCAUUAUCUGCACUUUUUCCCCAAUAAAUAAUUUCAAAUGCAUCUCAUAUCAGUACUGAUUAUCUUGUAAUUAAUUUAGAAUUUUGAUUUUAUUCAGCUGUUUACAGAUUGCGGGGGUUAUGACCCUCAUACCCCUGGUACCAGCCCUGGUUUCAAUGUAAUGCACAAAGAUAUUUACUGACAAGGAGAUGUAGUGCACAGGGUAAUCAAUUGUAGAGAAUCUAUGGUAUGUGGAGUUAAUAUACUCCUCAUCUAUUAUAGAAUUAAACUGGCUCCAACAAAAAGUCAUAUUGUUGUUAAAAGUCAAAUCAAAUAAUGAGAUCAUAUUUCUUCGUACUGUCUAUAGAAAUGACUUUGUAUUUUCAAACAACACUAAUGCACUUUUGAACACAUCAUCAGUACUAAUUGAAUGGAAUGUUCAGUUUGUGGAAAAAUAAGAAAAGGGAAGUAAAAAAGAACGGGCACAUAAACCUCCCACAACUUCCCGAACUAUCAGAUGUUGUGUUUUUUUGUGGGGUAAUAGUGAGCCUGUGACAUUAAUACAUUAAUACAUACAUACAGUAACUCUACAGCUACUGGAAUGGUUGAACAGUGUAGAAGAGUACCUCCCACUACAGUUUUUAUUAUUACUUCAUCCUUGUUUACCAGAUAGAUUGACUCAGAACACAUUCUCAUUUCCAGCAACAACCUAGGAGUAAUCAGAGUUAAAUGCCUAACUCAGGGAUUUAAUUUGGCUCCCUCAGGACCUAAGCAACCUACCGCACCAAUGAUUCUUGUCAAUAUUACAGUGUGGUCUUUGAAAACAAUAGUGGGACGAAACGUGCAACCCAUUAAUAUGAGCUAGCUAAUAACAGUGAUUGAUUAUGGAGCGCUAUGACAAUGAAAAUUGUGGUGUGAGACUUGCCUUCUACAUGAAAGCACACUUGCCAAAAAAUAUCACUGUCACUUUGCAGGCUGCCUUAAUUAAUGUGUUUCAAAGUAACAGUUGACUGCAGUUACUACAUUUACAAAGCUUCCUAAAUCUUUUUGGUAAGGGCAUUAGGGUUUAUACAAUUGUAGUGAACAUUUCAAUACAUACCUAACAGCAGUGUGAAUGUGAUUUGUUCUUUCUGUGGAGUUCAGGUGCCGAAGAGCAGCAGACAGUCCAGAGUAGUAGGCAGGAAUGCAAAAAUAAUUGGACAGGACGACUUUGAAAGGCCUUUCCAACAUGAAGGCCAAACUGCAAGGACGUUCUUGAAAGAAGACGUGUGCUGGAGCUGACAUGAAUGCAUGGUUUGAACGAAGAUGUGAUAUGUGUUGGGGGACCAGCCUUGCUGGUGCACCUGCCUGUAUUCCAGGAAAAGUCCUGCAUCAGAUGUUCUCUUACUUGAGCUCCUUUACCUCUUCUAGAAUAUGAGGUCAAAAUACACAGUAGUGGCAUCCAAAUGGAGUAAUGUUAUUUAGGACUAAAUCUUUGAGUCUUGAGCCAAAUCCCAAGUAAAGACAGGGGUGACAAAGUAUCAUGUCCCACAUUUUCAGCCCAGUCAAAUGACGCAAGCCUAUGAAGUUUAUUAUUAUAUUUAAGUAUAUUAAGUUAAAGUUGUGUGAUAUAUGUUUUGCUCAGUAAGGCAGAAACCCAGCUUUCAGAUACAGCAAUUAUAUGUUGCUAUUUUGUUUUUGCUCCUUCUCAGGAUCCAUUCAGGCAACAGCACACACUGAACUGUUCCAUAUACCGUAGAAGUCAAUGUCUGAAUGUACACCAAGAUUAACGUGGGCCAUCAUUCAUACAUUGAGAAUGCUGUCCUAUAGCCACCAGAGCAUAUUCCCAAACCACUUUAUGUUUGCAUAUAAUGCUAAUGCCACCCCAAAAUUAUGCUUUUAUUCUUUACUGAUUACUUUAUUUUGUAUUAUACCUGUACAGACUACAUACAGCGCCGGAAAUAAUUAAGAGACCACUGCACCCUUUUCUUUCCUUUCCAAAAAAGGCAAAGAGGAAGGUUUUGAGUGAGGAACAGAAGGGUUAAAAUUAAGAGACCACUGCAAAUUUAACGCUUCUGUUCUUCACUCAGAAAUUUCCUUUUCAACUUUUUCGGAAAGGAAAGAAAAAGUUGCAGUGGUCUCUCAAUUCUUUCCGGAGCUGUAUGUUCCUGGGGCAGCACAGGGACCAUUAGACCACCACAGAGCACAAGAAAUAUCUAAAUGUCUACUUACUUACAAUAAAAUUAUUUGAUCAAUACAGAAAUCAACAGUUGCACUCAUUGUUGUGUUACUGGUUUUAUUCAUUUUCACUUAUUGUUAGUACUUAUUGAGUUAUUCUUAGGCUCUGAUUACAUUUUCAGUCAAAAAGGUGUAAAUAUAUAGAACCUUUCUUCUGUAGUUUAUUUCAGGUUACUUAGACAUACUUUGUAGUUGCAUCAUUCCCCCAUAAAUUCCAUUAAUUAAGUGUCAAUGAAACCUAUUGCUAGGACAUGUGAUAAUAAUUGUGUCAUAUCAGAGAUGAGGCUAUGAUGAUGUUUACUUCGGUUAGAUGUGAAUAAAGCCUCAUUUACGAUAGACCCACUGUUUAUUCCAACAGGCGGGUCCAAUUUCUAUUUAUAAAAAAAUUGUAAUCCUCGUUUCAGUAAUUUUUUUCCAACAAUGGAAAGCAAUACUCGUAGAUCUUAACUUCACUGUACAGAGAGUACAUUUUGUUCCAACCAAGCAUGUUCCUUGUAGUUUAUAUAUGUACUUGAUCUAUUCAAAAUCCUCUCUAUUUAUCUCUCUCUAGUAUACCCUCUAUUUAUCUUUCCG
Long non-coding RNA from Esox lucius (northern pike), 5449 nucleotides. Lineage: Eukaryota; Metazoa; Chordata; Actinopteri; Esociformes; Esocidae. The record is from Ensembl.